GAGUCCGCUAAACAAUGGCCAUGUGUUUUGUUCUUAACCUUUUUAUAAUCACUCUAUAUCCAGGUGCUGUGCUGGGUGAUUCGGUCCAGUCCAAGGAAUCCCAAGUGUCUGGAACAGAAGGAGGCUCAGUAACUUUCAGCUGUUCCUACAAAACCACCGAUCCUUCGGGCGUCUCUCUCUCCUGGUACCGACAGUCUCCUAACCGAGCCCCGCAGUACAUUCUGCGGAGAGGGACGAAGCAAUACGCUGCUUAUCGCGAAAAUGCGGAUUUCGCCCAGGAGAGGUUUUCUGCCCAGGCUAAUGGCAACUCCACAGUUCUGAGCAUCACAGCCCUGGAGCUGGCAGACACCGCGGUGUAUCUCUGCGCCCUGCAGCGGGCACAGUGACAGAACCACACAGCAGAGCUGUAC
Non-coding RNA from Dermochelys coriacea (leatherback sea turtle), 410 nucleotides. The record is from the annotation of a RefSeq genome assembly. NCBI's taxonomy places the organism in Eukaryota, Metazoa, Chordata, Testudines, Dermochelyidae.